CUCGGCCCCUCACGUGGCGGUACCUCGCCGAACUCCCCCAGGGCAGGAAUGCAGCAAGGGUAGGCAAGCUCUUCCGGGUGCGUGAGGGGUCCUUUCA
This is a non-coding RNA of Luteipulveratus sp., 97 nucleotides long. It matches the Rfam family "Bacterial small signal recognition particle RNA". Rfam says of the family: The signal recognition particle (SRP) is a universally conserved ribonucleoprotein involved in the co-translational targeting of proteins to membranes. Archaeal SRP consists of a 7S RNA and homologues of the eukaryotic SRP19 and SRP54 proteins. In most bacteria, the SRP consists of a 4.5S RNA and the Ffh protein (a homologue of the eukaryotic SRP54 protein). The record is from Rfam. Lineage: Bacteria; Bacillati; Actinomycetota; Actinomycetes; Micrococcales; Dermacoccaceae.